GUCGCAGUGGCUCAGGUGGGUAGAGUAAUGACUAUGGGGAAAUAGGUCCGGGGUUCGAGCCCCCGCUGAUGGCA
This is a transfer RNA of Caenorhabditis elegans, 74 nucleotides long. The record is from Ensembl. Lineage: Eukaryota; Metazoa; Nematoda; Chromadorea; Rhabditida; Rhabditidae.